Molecule: ribosomal RNA, 609 nt
Filed under: Phaeoclavulina curta
Lineage: Eukaryota; Fungi; Basidiomycota; Agaricomycetes; Gomphales; Gomphaceae
Description: eukaryotic LSU rRNA
Rfam family: Eukaryotic large subunit ribosomal RNA
Source: RNAcentral
CUAACAAGGAUUCCCCUAGUAACGGCGAGUGAAGCGGGAAGAGCUCAAAUUUGUAAUCUGGCGGUCUAAGGCCGUCCGAGUUGUAGUCUAGAGAAGUGUUAUCCGUGACGGACCGUGUACAAGUCCCUUGGAACAGGGCGUCAUAGAGGGUGAGAAUCCCGUCUUAGACACGGACURCCGUUACAUUGUGAUGCGCUCUCGAAGAGUCGAGUUGUUUGGGAAUGCAGCUCAAAUCGGGUGGUAAAUUCCAUCUAAAGCUAAAUAUUGGCGAAAGACCGAUAGCGAACAAGUACCGUGAGGGAAAGAUGAAAAGCACUUUGGAAAGAGAGUUAAACAGUACGUGAAAUUGUUGAAAGGGAAACGAUUGAAGUCAGUCGCGCCUCCCGGGACUCAGCCUUGUAUUCACACGGUGUAUUUCCUGGGAUGGCGGGCCAGCAUCGAUUUCGAUCGUCAGAGAAAGGCCUAGGGAAUGUGGCACCUUCGGGUGUGUUAUAGCCCUGGGUCGUAUGUGACGGUUGGGAUCGAGGACCGCAGCACGCCUUUAUUGGCCGGGGUUCGCCACGUAACGUGCUUAAGAUGCUGGCGUAAUGGCUUUAAACGACCCGUCUU